UGUUUAACUGUAAGAAGAAAAAGAUUUCUCCUGUUUAACUAAAAAAAAUACUGACAUGAUGACAAUGUCUUGACUUGAAGGUGAAUUGGAUCUAAAUGAGACAGAACUGCACUCCUCCAGUCAUCUGAGUCCAGUGGCAAGCAAGACAAAGGACCUUGGAUGCAACACGUCACUGAAAGUUCCGAGGUCAAAAGCCAUCCCAGUCUUUUUCCAAGAUCUAUUGUCUCAUGGCCUUCUGGAGUCCUAUUCUUUCCAACUACCAAAAGGAGACUCACCAGAGAAUCUCACUGGAGUUUCCACCGUCACCUAAUAUUGUUCCCAGGCUCAGGAUCCACCACCAGUCAGAUCAAGCGAAUAGCCGACAAGUUGGAACUGCAAACUCAUGGUCCAUGCUGGUUUUUCUGUAGUGGGCAAUUCUAUUUUAAAACAUCCCACAUUGAGACUUUAAGCGACUUCCUUUAUAAUAAAAUGCCCCUACGCAACCCAACUUUUUCUUUUUUGUCACCCUCAGGAUUGAGAUUGCAGAGCUAAAAAGGAAAAAUUUGGCCAAAAUGGCAUCUUUACCUGUGAGCAUGAUGUUUCUGCCAGAACAUGAGCUCUUUGAGGACAAUAAUUGCUUUCAUUUAGUCUUUGAAUCCUUGGCACUGAGGACAGCGCUGGUGCAAGGUGUGGAGUGAAGAAGAUAG
Sarcophilus harrisii (Tasmanian devil) is the source of this 686-nucleotide long non-coding RNA. The record is from Ensembl. Lineage: Eukaryota; Metazoa; Chordata; Mammalia; Dasyuromorphia; Dasyuridae.